GCUUCACAGCUUCAAGAUCCAACAGCUACAAACUGGAACCCCAACUACUAACCCUUUGACUCGUUGACUAGCCUUUAGACUUCAUACUUUCCCUUUAUACAUAUUUCUACUGAGCUUCUCCUUCUAUCUUCAACCUUCGACUCUUCUCUACAAACAAUUGGAACAAUAUUCCCCUGUUAGAACACCUUGCCUGCAAGUGAGGAUACGUGCUCUUAAGGCUGAUAUACGAUUCACAAGUGGUGUCCUCAACCCUCUAUCCUUUUGCCAACAGAUGGAGACAGAUCCAGGCGGUAGGCCACCAAUUCCACCCUUUGCAGCACUUGAAAGGGCCUGUAAUACCUCAGGGCCAAUUUUAAAUCCCUCCUCUAUGACAUCGAUAUAUGGGCUGUAAAUGGAGAUAGACCCAGCCCCCAACGGCUGUAAUUUCUUAUGUAAGGGGGUGCGUACCUGUAUAACGCCUCGAAUGGAGACAACCUUGUUUAGGCAUGAAUAUUGGUGUUGUACUACCAUUCGGCCAAGGGAACCCAAUUCAGUCCCUUGGCUGAUCUCCAUCAAAACAUCUCAGGUAAUUCUCUAAACACUUAUUUACUGCUUCUGAUUGGCCAUCGGACUGAGGGUGGUAUUUAGUGGAGAAAGCCAUUUGUAACCCCUUGUAGUUUAAGAAAUUCCUGCCAGAAAUGAUUAGUAAAGGUAAGGUCACAGCCUGAGAUAAUGGAUAGAGGUAGCCAUGGAGUUUAAAGAUAUGUUUAAGGAAGACCUGGGCUAUAGUUUUUGCUGUGUAAGGGUGGGCUAUGGGUGUGAAAUGGCUGUACUUUUGCAAGUGAUCCACCACAACCCAAAAGUUGUUGUACUGUUGUAAAGAGGGAAGGCCUUCUAUGAAAUCCAUGGUUAUAUGUGACCCUGGUUGAGAGGGUACUAGUAACUUGGUAAGGGUUUUAGGAGUUCGGAAGGAUAACUCUUCUCACCUUUCACCAUCUGGCACACAUCACAUUCCCUUACAUAUUUCUUCACAUCUGCUUUGAGUCAAGCCCAGAAAAAUUCCUUUUGAGCAUGGUGCAUAGUCUUGUUAUAACCUGCAUGUCCCCACAAUGAACUCCUAUGUACCCAAUCAAAUAGCUUGGCCUUAAAGGCCUCAUCCCUCAUAACAUAUAGUCGGCCCUUGUAAAACAAAAGGCCCUCUAAUAAAUCUUCUGUAUGCGUAGCAUCCCGUAUGCCCCACCGCGAUCUGCCAAUAGAGGGUGGAGACCACCACGAGCGUGUAUAUAAACGAAUCCUGAGCACAGAUUAGCUCUCUUAACAAUUUUCUUCUUAUAGUCAGACACAAAAAGAUAAUUAUAACUUAAGCAUCGGAGGCGACCCUCGAGCCCUCAUCUCUUCGAGUCUUGUAGGUGAGGCGAAGGAAUUGUAGAGUUGCUCGAACUGUAAAACACGACAUCAACAAAUUGAAUUCCAAACUAACUUCCAAAUCCAUCGAUUUAAUGAAUCAACACAUUAGUGAGGGGAAAAAACAAGGGCAUUAGAACAUGGAGAGAACAAAUUAAGCUUAGGGUCCGAAUAGGGCAUCAGUUAAUGAAGUAUUUGUUAAACUUUCUUCAACAUUUUACAAAAUCUUUAUUGGUAAAGGAAGACGUUUAAGAAAUAUUAACAGGGUAUGUGUGGAU
Long non-coding RNA from Juglans regia (Persian walnut), 1661 nucleotides. RefSeq lists it as uncharacterized. The transcript is spliced from 3 exons. The record is from RefSeq and is a predicted model, not a curated record. NCBI's taxonomy places the organism in Eukaryota, Viridiplantae, Streptophyta, Magnoliopsida, Fagales, Juglandaceae.